GAUGAAGAACGCAGCGAAAUGCGAUAAGUAAUGUGAAUUGCAGAAUUCAGUGAAUCAUCGAAUCUUUGAACGCACCUUGCGCUCCUUGGUAUUCCGAGGAGCAUGCCUGUUUGAGUGUCAUGAAAUUCUCAACCUUUUCAGCUUUCUUUGUUGAUCAGGCUUGGAUGUGGGAGUAUGCGGGCUUCUCAGAAGUCGGCUCUCCUGAAAUGCAUUAGCGGGACCUUUGUUGCCUGGCUUUGGUGUGAUAAUUAUCUACGCCAUUGUGGUCAAGCAGCUUAAAAUGAGGAUUCAGCUUCUAACCGUCUCCCCUGAGACAACUUUUUGACAAUUUGACCUCAAAUCAGGUAGGACUACCCGCUGAACUUAAGCAUAUCAAUAAGCGGAGGA
This 387-nucleotide unclassified non-coding RNA is filed under the name soil metagenome. Its description in RNAcentral is "partial contains 5.8S ribosomal RNA, internal transcribed spacer 2, and large subunit ribosomal RNA". The stretch from base 1 to 120 matches the Rfam family "5.8S ribosomal RNA", at positions 35 to 154 of the family's 154-position model. The record is from RNAcentral.